RNAcentral lists this microRNA (23 nucleotides) under Ptychodera flava. RNAcentral's name for it is "Pfl-Mir-252-P2_3p* (star (passenger))". Lineage: Eukaryota; Metazoa; Hemichordata; Enteropneusta; Ptychoderidae. The record is from RNAcentral.
CCCUGUUGUACUCGUACUUAACA